This 253-nucleotide ribosomal RNA is filed under the name uncultured bacterium. Its description in RNAcentral is "partial 16S ribosomal RNA". It matches the Rfam family "Bacterial small subunit ribosomal RNA", at positions 524 to 776 of the family's 1533-position model. The record is from RNAcentral.
UACGUAUGGUGCAAGCGUUGUUCGGAAUUAUUGGGUGUAAAGGGUAUGUAGGCGGAGUUAUAAGUCAGAUGUGAAACCUAAGGGCCCAACCCUUAGCCUGCAUUUGAUACUGUGAUUCUAGAGUUUGGGAGAGGCAAGCGGAAUUCCUGGUGUAGCGGUGAAAUGCGUAGAUAUCAGGAAGAACACCGGUGGCGAAAGCGGCUUGCUGGCCUAAAACUGACGCUGAGAUACGAAAGUGUGGGGAGCGAACGGG